This 888-nucleotide ribosomal RNA is filed under the name Triticum aestivum (bread wheat). RNAcentral's name for it is "partial small subunit ribosomal RNA". The record is from RNAcentral. Lineage: Eukaryota; Viridiplantae; Streptophyta; Magnoliopsida; Poales; Poaceae.
AAGAAACCUACCAUAGCGGAAUGGGAACCGCUUUAUGGGAAGGUCGCUAACCGAGUGAGCCCUUGGAGGGGUAGGUUUAUGUCCUCGGCGGCGAGGCUAAUCCUAACCAACUCGAGCUUAUCUUCCCUCCCUAUUUUCACUAUGGGGAUGUUCCUACUAGCGGAUGGGGUUCACACAAGACUCGAUACCCCUCGCUCCCGGUUCUUUUGGGAAGGAGCCGGGACCAAGCGUAAGUAUCACUUAGUGAAAUGGGCAGCAGCGUGUAGGCCAAAAAAAUUUGGCGGCCUAGGUAUCACGAAUUCUAAACUCAUGAACGUGGCGUUGCUAACUAAGUGGUGGUGGCGUCUUGCCCAAAACGAGUCGGGGCUCUGGGCAGACAUCCUUCGAGCCAAAUAUUUCCCGGAGGGGAAUUUGUUCAAGGCUAAAACCAACGGUUCGGCCUUUUGGAACGGGAUCCAAGCGGUACGACCGGCGUUUUCAGUUGGUGCACAGUUUCGGGUAAACAACGGCAAGUCCACACGGUUCUGGCUCGACCAUUGGUGGGGUCAGGAGCCGUUAUGGCAAUCCCAUCUGGAAUUGUACCAACUGGCAACGGACACUAACAUUUUCGUGGCCGAUGCUUUACGCGUCCACCCUCUAGCCAUUUCGUUCAUCAGGAAUCUAGAGCCCAGGGAGGCUGCAAGCUGGGACACUUUGACGGUCGACUGGGGUGGUCUGAACCGUAGCACUGGGGCGGACACGAUAUCGUGGAAGUUGACCGCUUCUAAGCGAUUUUCGGUCAAGUCCUUAUAUGACAAGCUAUCUUCGGGACCUACAUUAGAUAUAGCUAGGGGGCUAUGGAAGGCCGCCAUUCCUCUCAAAAUUAAGAUCUUCUUUUGGCAAAUGUUU